Long non-coding RNA from Gossypium raimondii (Peruvian cotton), 2354 nucleotides. RefSeq lists it as uncharacterized. Lineage: Eukaryota; Viridiplantae; Streptophyta; Magnoliopsida; Malvales; Malvaceae. The transcript has 4 exons. The record is from RefSeq and is a predicted model, not a curated record.
UCUUCCUUAUGUUGCAUACUUUUCCAUCUCCAUCUCCAAUUAAAAUAAUAAUUCAAAUCUGCAAUGGAAAAAAAAGGUUGUUCAUCCAGACCCAAAAUGUAUCCCUUAAGUUGUAUGCUUCUUCAUCUCCAAUCAUCCAAAUUUGUAGCUUUGUUGUUGCUUCAUCAACAACCCAACUGUCUGAUAAUUUAACACCAUUGCUCGCCACUAGUUCAAUGUCUAUCCUCAAGCUUGCCACUCUCUACCAUUGCUUCUGGAUGGAACAAUAUCUCCCCCUCCAAUCUUUUGAGACAAUCGUCAAUAUAACUUCAAAUUUUCAUUACCAAAACGAUGAUGCCCACCCAUAUGAGCAAGCAGUCGUAGCUUACAAGGCUAGAUCUGUUAAACCUCAUCCGCGUUUUCCUUCACUCCCUCUUUUCCCUUAACUCAUUGACCUAAAUUUCUCAACUCAUCAUGUUCACAACCUCUAGAUUUGCUACUUACAAGGCUCGAUUUCACAAUUUCAAGAUAGAAGAUUGAAUUUUGCAAUCCAACAUUCGCAAUCUACCCGCUCCUCCAUCACCUUUGAUCGAACCAUACUUGAGAGAAGUCGAUUUUUUGCAUGUGGCCCUUAUAGGUAGGGGGUGUAAGUUGGACCCAACACUCGCAAGCGCGUUGGUGGAAAGAUGGAGAGUCGAGACACACACUUUCCAUCUUUGAUGCGACGAGUGUACUAUCACUCUAGAGGACGUGUAGUUAAAACUCGGGUUACCAGUGGAUGGGUCCGUAGUGACUGGGAUUGUUCACGCCGAUUGGAAAGUGGUAUCCGACGAACUUUUGGGGCUAGUUCUGGAGACAAUUUUUGGAGGUUGGAUAGAAAUGGCUUGGUUAAAAAGAAAUUUUGGUGAGCUCGAUGAGGAUUCAAUUGAAGUUGAAAGAGAACAACACGCUCGGGCUUACAUUCUUAUGAUAAUUGAGGGUAUCCUAACACUGGAUAAGUCACGAAAUCUCAUACAUUUAAGGUGGUUACUGAAACUUGUCAACUUUAGAGAAACGAGCAAACUCAAUUUGGGGUCCGCCGCGUUGGCGACCUUAUAUUGGGAGAUGUGUCGGGUGACGCAACCAUGAGAAAUUAAAAUUGGUGGUUGCAUGCUACUACUGCAGUCAUGGAUGCAGUAUUGGCUGCCAUUUUUAUGUCCUGAAGCAAACAACCUUUACACUUUCCCCCUCGUAACAAGGUGGAAUCAUGGGUCGAGUUACACGAGAUUACCGAAAGAGUUGCGAGAUAUAUAACUUUUGUUAGACCAACAAUCUAAAGCAGAGUUUGAAUGGACGCCAUACAAGGAUUCGACAAUUCAGGAAUGCAUCCCAUCCGAAUUCCUGGUGAGUUCCAACAUCUAGCCCGUGAAGGUGCCAUUGAUAGUCUAUACUCCCGUGGAGAUGCAUGAUUCGACUAGGGUUUUGUAGCAAUUCAGGUUCAGACAAUCGAUUCCAGUGGCACCUUAGGACCUCGAUAAUCAACAUCCUAUAGACUUGCAGAGGAGGUCGAUGAGAAUUGGAUUAAACUCCAUAUCGAAUAUAUUAACAUGUGGAACAAUCGAUACGAGUUUUUACCUCAUCGUGAGGCCAUUGUCGCUCCGAAGUACAUGCAUUGGUUUAGGCUUCUUGGCAAGCCAUACUUGUUGAGCGAAAAAGAUAGGAGAGGGAAACCACAUACGAGAAGGCCACGACGACCACCAACACAUCUAAGGUUUGGCAAGGCAGGUCCAUCGUCUGUACCUAUGCAAGAGCUGACAAUGAUGCCUACACCACCCUCUGGUUAAUAUGUAUCGUCUUAUUCUAGUGCAUAUGCGAACCCUAUCAUUUUCACACAAGCACCAUAUAUUCCACCACAUUUUUUUGCUUCUACUUCGAUGUCAGGUUUUGUUUUUGGACAUCCGUCCCUGGUAUAUUACACGUCGAUGCCAUCGACGUUUUUGACGACAAUGAUGUCGACAACAACGUAUAGGCCGUCUACGUUUCGACCACUGGCCGAGAGUCCAAUUACUAUGCCAUCGAUAUACUAAACACAAUAUAGUUAUACCCUUACGCCGAUGGUAAAGCAAACACCUCCAAGAUCAUUGUUCUAUCAAGGUGGAUCAUCUUCUCAACCACCUAUUCUUAGACCGGAGGAUGCACGAAGGCAAUCGAGAAGCAACAGGCCGCAAUUAACUACAGAGGAAGGUAAAGAAAAGGAGAGGCCUAUACCACAACCUGUGCUAGAGGUUCAAUCAAGAAUGAAUCUGACUCGUAACCGUAGACGACCUCGAUGUGGCACACAUUCUGACACGGGAUAAUAGUUGAUUUACUUUAUACUAUACUUAUCAUGUUAACAU